AUGCACUAUAUAGGCGGGAAAGUGACCGUAUAUAUAAAAGUGACCGCGGCCACGCCCUCCUCUACCGACGAUCAUCGUUCAAGAGGAUGCCUGGUGGUACUUGGUGCGCUGCGCCCAGUUGUCACAACUCUCGAACUAAAGAUGUAAGAAGUGUGUGCAGAACUGCCGGCGAAGAGAUCUGCUGGGCCAGCCGGCAUCGUAUUUGCAUGCAAACUGUGCUCUCUGCUUUGACCAUUUUGAAUAAAUACCAGUUCAUGACUCCCUUGAACAAGCACUGCCAGAUGAUCUGCAUGGUGUGCAGUUCCAACCAUCUUUGAUGUACGGAAUCCACCAGUUCCUGCUAACUGUAAAAUGAAAACUACCACUAUGAAAUGAUUACCAUUGCCGAACCGUUCUGUAAUAUGAGGAAAAGGAGGGUAUAUAUGGAGAUAAUCCAAGUCCCUGGCAGUUUCAGUUAUUUCUGCGCUAGAUGAUGGUGGAUGGUCUCAUCAUGCUGAGUGCAAGGAGCAACUAACUCAAAGAUGGAGAUCACUUUCUCCUGAUGCUCAAUAACAUCAUGCAGCACUCAGCACACUCCAGGUAUUUUUGAUGCAAGAUGCAAGCAAAUUGAAAGUUGUGAAAACCAGGCAGUCUUGUAGCUUUGUUUUUAAAUAUAUGGCUGCAUUUUUAUUGAAAGAAAACAAUGGACAUUUGUCUGAAGCGUCGGCAUGGAAAAUCCAAAAUGUUAAAAUUGUAACAUCUGUAUAUAUAGAUGUACAUAAUUUAUAUUUUUUGCAAAAGAACUGGGUAUAAAGAGGUCUUAGAUAUGUAACAAUCAUAAUCUCUUUGAAAAAAUUUUCAUUAGAGUUAAACUGCUAAUGUGUACUCGAAACGUGUUUUUUUCUAAAUUAUAGAAGUUGCCCCAUUGAA
Molecule: long non-coding RNA, 909 nt
Organism: Pomacea canaliculata
Lineage: Eukaryota; Metazoa; Mollusca; Gastropoda; Architaenioglossa; Ampullariidae
Exons: 2
Source: RefSeq, a predicted model, not a curated record